This 365-nucleotide ribosomal RNA is filed under the name uncultured eukaryote. RNAcentral's name for it is "partial 18S ribosomal RNA". It matches the Rfam family "Eukaryotic small subunit ribosomal RNA", at positions 592 to 976 of the family's 1831-position model. The record is from RNAcentral.
CAAUAGCGUAUAUUUAAGUUGUUGCAGUUAAAAAGCUCGUAGUCGGAUUUUGGCUGAGAACGAACGGUCCGCCGUUAGGUGUGCACUGUUUGGUCUCAGCUUCCUGGUGAGGAGGUGUGCUUCACGGCCACUUAGUCACCGUGGUUACUUUGAAAAAAUUAGAGUGUUCAAAGCGGGCUUACGCUUGAAUAUAUUAGCAUGGAAUAACACCAUAGGACUCCUGUCCUAUUUCGUUGGUCUCGGGACGGGAGUAAUGAUUAAGAGGAACAGUUGGGGGCAUUCGUAUUUCAUUGUCAGAGGUGAAAUUCUUGGAUUUAUGAAAGACGAGCUUCUGCGAAAGCAUUUGCCAAGGAUGUUUUCAUUAA